GAGCGGACAGAUGGGAGCUUGCUCCCUGAUGUUAGCGGCGGACGGGUGAGUAACACGUGGGUAACCUGCCUGUAAGACUGGGAUAACUCCGGGAAACCGGGGCUAAUACCGGAUACUUGUUUGAACCGCAUGGUUCAAACAUAAAAGGUGGCUUCGGCUACCACUUACAGAUGGACCCGCGGCGCAUUAGCUAGUUGGUGAGGUAAUGGCUCACCAAGGCAACGAUGCGUAGCCGACCUGAGAGGGUGAUCGGCCACACUGGGACUGAGACACGGCCCAGACUCCUACGGGAGGCAGCAGUAGGGAAUCUUCCGCAAUGGACGAAAGUCUGACGGAGCAACGCCGCGUGAGUGAUGAAGGUUUUCGGAUCGUAAAGCUCUGUUGUUAGGGAAGAACAAGUGCCGUUCAAAUAGGGCGGCACCUUGACGGUACCUAACCAGAAAGCCACGGCUAACUACGUGCCAGCAGCCGCGGUAAUACGUAGGUGGCAAGCGUUGUCCGGAAUUAUUGGGCGUAAAGGGCUCGCAGGCGGUUUCUUAAGUCUGAUGUGAAAGCCCCCGGCUCAACCGGGGAGGGUCAUUGGAAACUGGGGAACUUGAGUGCAGAAGAGGAGAGUGGAAUUCCACGUGUAGCGGUGAAAUGCGUAGAGAUGUGGAGGAACACCAGUGGCGAA
Molecule: ribosomal RNA, 673 nt
Filed under: Bacillus sp. 20BL
Lineage: Bacteria; Bacillati; Bacillota; Bacilli; Caryophanales; Bacillaceae
Description: bacterial SSU rRNA
Rfam family: Bacterial small subunit ribosomal RNA
Source: RNAcentral